CAAAGACCGUUCAUACUUAUAUUUAUUUCUAUAAAAGCCUUGUAUUCAUAUUUUUGAUUUAGAUACUCGAUUAUCGACUGAUGUUAGGUCUUGGGGUGGUUUCUUGUGCUUUAUUGCAGUUGUUCCUUUUUUUUCAUUGCUAUUUAUUUUCUGCUUUAUUGGUUCAUCUUCCAUUGGAUAGCCCGUUACUUCUCGUUCUGGGGUAAGGGUUAAAUGUUAGUCAUACCUACUAGUCGAUAUUAGCAAGUGUCAUCACAACUUGAGAAAUUAGAUUUUCACAAGUUGGUAUCAGAGCUCUAGGUUGACCGGCAUCAUUAGAAUGAGGGUAAUGCCUACUAGAGCCCUGUGGAUCAGUACGGAGAUGUCCAUAUCCUAUCUUCGGGAGGCUAUGGGGGCAUAGAUAGAAAAUUCGAUUCUUGACUCCUUAUCGUUUGUCCUUGCUUUGAAUAAUCUCUAAACUGAUCCUUUGGAGUCCAUUCUUUUUGAUAUGGAUAACACGAGGUUUCUGGUGAACCCAAUCGGAGCGUUAACAGGUUUUACCAAAGUUUCAGUAAAUGGUUCUUAGGCCAGAAAUGGGUUCGUGGUUCCCUAGUAUGGUCUAUCCUUAUUAUAAGAGCACGUCAUGUAAUUUCUUGAAUGGGUUGGGAAUAAAUCCACAUCAUCCCCUAUGGUUUGGAAUAUGAGCCGGGAGUUUGUCGGGGGAUUGUCUUUGCCACUUUAUUUGGCAUCAGAGCAUUUAAUACCAGAUGGGUCUACCAUUCCCUAGAUUGUCAGCCAUGUGAGGGCAGUGGAGCAGGCAUCCUUUGAUGCAUACAAAUAUAGUGCUAGGAGGCCCUGCCAUCAGCACAGAGGUGAUAACAUCCAUCUUUAGGGCGAGUAUCAGUUUAACAAGGGUCAUCUUCCUUCUUGAGCCAUCAGGCCUACGAUGGUAGAACCUCAGGUCCCAAGAGGUUUUGAGGUAAGUCAUGGAGCUUACGGUGGGUAGAAUUAAGUUUUUGGAUCUCAAUGUUCAUAUUUUAGACAUCUAGGUCAUAAGGUCCUGGUGCAGUCAGCUAGGGGUAGGGACAGAUAUGGCAGCCAACCCCGCCAGUAUAGUUCUAUGGAAGGCUAGAGCUCGAGGGGAUCAGAUUCACUUUCUUCCUACCGAGGUUAGGUUAUUAUAAGAUUUUUAACUUUGGGGUGUUAUGAUUAUGGGGAGUUUGAUCACUGGUACCGAGAGUGCCCUAGGUGAGAGUUGAUAUUUUAGACAUCUCAGACUCCUCAUACUCACCGGACCAGAGUUUUUCGGCCUUGCCGUACCUGUGGAGAGCUUGGCCAUCGAUGCAUAGAUUGUCCCCAACAUGGGACCCAUGCACAGUUUGCUCAGCUAGGUUUGUCUCAUGGGUCUAUGUUACCUCUAGUUGGAGGUAGUGCUCAGAGUGUUGUUGGUGGUGCUUCAGGUGUUCAGGCCAAGGGUCCGACGAUCAUCGUGCACCUCCCCUUUUUGGCUAGAGGUUUAGCACUAUUAUCUCAUUGUUGAAAUAUUCCCCCACAAAGAAACCACGUAAGAAGGAAUGUUGAGGAGGAGAAACAAGCUCUACAUGACCGUUUGAAUGAGAAAGUCUCUUAUGUGGAUCCCAAGUCGUGGCUGCUCAAGAAAAUAGGGAAGUAGUGGCUCUCGUGAACCCAAAUAUAGGUACGUUGGCUAGUCAAGUUUGUGAUUUCACUCGUAUGAACCCUUUUGAGUUUUAUAGUUCUAUAGUGGAUGAGGAUCCACAAGACUUCAUUGAAGGUAUUGGAAAGAUUUUUCAGAACAUGAGCAUUAGCUUGGUAGAGAAGGAAGGUUUAGCAUCUUAUCAACUCAAGGGAGUUGCACAAAUUUUGUAUGACUAAUGGAAUAGUGAAAGAGGUAUAUAUGAUAACGCCGUUGAUUAGGAAGAGUUCAAAGGUGCUUUCCUUGAUUGUUUCUUUCAUUUGGAGUUGAGAAAGUCUAAACUGCAAGAGUUCAUCAAUUUAAGAAAGGGUAGCAUAAGUAUAAAGGAUUAUGUUCUUAAGUUCACUAAGUUGUCAAAAUAAACCCCUUUCUUGGUUGCCGAUCCCAGAGCUUGUAUGAGCAAGUUGUUUUGGGUGUGUUGGACUUAGUAGUCAAAGAAUGUAGAACUGCCAUUCUAAUCAAGAGAUGGAAGUCUCUAGACUUAUGGCACAUGGUGAACAAAUACAGGACGAGAAGCUAAAAGAGAGAUCUAAAAGGUAUUCUAAGAGGGUUCAAACUUAUGGUGGUGAGUUUUCUUAUGGUAAUUUCAGGAAUGGUGGACGUUCUCACUUUCACCAAAACUAUUCCAGCCAAAAUUCUUCACAUCUCCGACUCCAAAAUUUGAUAAGGAUAUUGUUCCCAGCCCUAAGGUUCAAGGAAGAGAUCCGAGUAUCUAAGCCAUUCCUACAUGCAAGAAAUGUGGAAGAAACCAUAGGGAAGAAUGCUUGGCGGGAUUGAGUACAUGUUAUAGGUGUGGUAACCCAGAUCAUCAUGCAAAGAAUUGUAGAGGUGGCGGUCAACCCCAGGCUAAGACUUAUGCUACAAGCAGUCUGGUUCAGUAGGGUGUUACUAUAGGGUUUGGUGGUUGAUGUAAGGCCAAAAAUACAUAUUUUUAGUCAUUAUUUACCUCAUAUUUCAUCUUUUUAUUUGUUCUUUUUAAGCAUAAAUUUUAUGGAUUAUGUUAAAUAGUGUAUUUUAUUUAUAGGAUUAAUUUGAUGCAAAGUGAAGAAAUUUGGAGUCAAAAUGAAUUAAAGAUGAAGGACUAAAGAAGUAAAAUCAA
Solanum dulcamara is the source of this 2792-nucleotide long non-coding RNA. RefSeq lists it as uncharacterized. Lineage: Eukaryota; Viridiplantae; Streptophyta; Magnoliopsida; Solanales; Solanaceae. The transcript has 3 exons. The record is from RefSeq and is a predicted model, not a curated record.